UGCCCAGCAACUCCUAUCCCUACCUCCUCGUGGUACUGGCCGGGGUACGAGUAACCUUGGGGAAGAUCGGGUAACCAACCCCCGGUGGGAACUUUGUUCGUAUGCUGACAGGAAAGG
This 117-nucleotide ribozyme is filed under the name Aedes aegypti (yellow fever mosquito). RNAcentral describes it as "drz-agam-1 ribozyme". It matches the Rfam family "drz-agam-1 ribozyme". The record is from Rfam by way of RNAcentral. Lineage: Eukaryota; Metazoa; Arthropoda; Insecta; Diptera; Culicidae.